AGUCACUCCUGGUACACCUACACCUGAUUCUAUUCUCUCUUCUUUCUCUUCAAUUUGAAUGAAUUGGUGAUGUUAUUUUACUAUACAGCAGAAGCUCAUGAUUCCACUCCCUCUACUGUCCCGCCCGUCUUUGCUCUGAAUUCCCCCAAGAAACUGUUCAGCUAUCUGCAGCUUGCUUGGACUUUGAAGCGGAACAGAGGAGGAGAUGGUACACACAAUUCUUGCUCAGUUAUGAUCAGUUUUGAGAGAGGCUAGCAACAAAAUUUUGAGGUUUUUCAUCUCUCUAUAUUGGUAUGGAUACAAGUGUGUUAAAUAACAGUCAUGGGGAUUGCCAUUUUGUCAUUCAAUUCAAGAUACAGCAGGUGCCUACUGCCUAUUCAUCGUGCCCCCAAAAUAAAAUCCUCACGUGGAAUCAAAUCUUCAUGCGGAUUGGCAAUGCCAUCAGACAUUCGUGGUUCGGUCAGGAUAAAUAGGUUGUGUCUGGUAUCUACUGAUCCAUGUGAAAAAAAUCUGAACCCCGAAUUCUGAAUAAUCUUUUUUGUUAUGCAUAUGUAUGGAAUUUCUAGCAUUCUCUA
Molecule: long non-coding RNA, 575 nt
Organism: Mangifera indica (mango)
Lineage: Eukaryota; Viridiplantae; Streptophyta; Magnoliopsida; Sapindales; Anacardiaceae
Exons: 3
Source: RefSeq, a predicted model, not a curated record